This 212-nucleotide long non-coding RNA is filed under the name Elaeis guineensis (African oil palm). RNAcentral's name for it is "long non-coding RNA (EGUI_LNC004068)". Lineage: Eukaryota; Viridiplantae; Streptophyta; Magnoliopsida; Arecales; Arecaceae. The record is from RNAcentral.
CCAUUUGCUGGUCCAAUUCACAAUAAGAAAUGGAGUCGGAGAAAUGCGUGAAGAUCAACAGCUUGCUCGAUGCUGCUUCCUCAUCUCCACACAAAAUAAAUAAUUUGAAAACUCUUUGUCCAUCGAUAAAAUGGACUAAAGAAAAAAUGAAUAAAGAGAUAAACCAGCUGAACAACUGAUUUUCAUCCCACUAAAAGAAGAAGAUCCUGAAA